GCUUUGGUGGGGUAGUGGUAACCUGGGUCGUUGCCAUGGAUUGAGAGAUUCCUCCAGUGAAUCUCGACCCACCGGGGGUUCGAUUCCCUCCCAAAGCA
Non-coding RNA from Roridomyces roridus, 98 nucleotides. Lineage: Eukaryota; Fungi; Basidiomycota; Agaricomycetes; Agaricales; Mycenaceae. The record is from the annotation of a GenBank genome assembly.